This 253-nucleotide ribosomal RNA is filed under the name uncultured bacterium. RNAcentral describes it as "partial 16S ribosomal RNA". It matches the Rfam family "Bacterial small subunit ribosomal RNA", at positions 524 to 776 of the family's 1533-position model. The record is from RNAcentral.
UACGGAGGGUGCGAGCGUUAAUCGGAAUUACUGGGCGUAAAGGGUGCGUAGGUUGUCAGCUAAGUUAUCUGUAAAAUCCCUGGGCUUAACCUGGGCAGGUCAGGUAAGACUGGUUGACUAGAGUAUGGGAGAGGGCAGUGGAAUUUCCGGUGUAGCGGUGAAAUGCGUAGAGAUCGGAAGGAACACCAGUGGCGAAGGCGGCUGCCUGGCCUAAUACUGACACUGAGGCACGAAAGCGUGGGGAGCAAACAGG